Long non-coding RNA from Loxodonta africana (African savanna elephant), 3191 nucleotides. RefSeq lists it as uncharacterized. NCBI's taxonomy places the organism in Eukaryota, Metazoa, Chordata, Mammalia, Proboscidea, Elephantidae. The transcript has 3 exons. The record is from RefSeq and is a predicted model, not a curated record.
UUCCCCAGUCUGCAGCAAAAGUGCCACGUCAAGACUGGAAAUCACAGCCUCGAGUGUGUCUCAGGCAGUGCAGAGGGUUCAGGGGGGAAAGCCGAACGCGGCCCCCAAUGCAGGAAGGGAGGCUUUUCCCAAAGACCAGGAGAGGAUUUUAAGUAAAUAGAUGGAAGCUUCUGGAGAUCCUGCUCCGUCGCCCCAGUGUUCAGACUACCUGUUCAGGACAAUGCCGUUGUACAGUAGUCUGCACAUUGGUUAGACUGGGCAAGGGACAGCAACGCCAUGGACUGCUGGGGACAAAAUGUGCUGUUUCCGAGGAGAAGACAGUUGUUGGCUCUUUUUUCGAAUCUCAUAUCCAGUGUUUUUCUUCACAGGUCUUGCACACUAGGGACCAAGAAACCCUCGGGGGCACUUCAGGAAAAGACUGCUCAGGGGAAGACCUGCGGGUAAGGCCUUCUUGACUACUCCCCUAGGUGUGUGUUCAAUGACAUGCGUUCAGAUGCGAGAGAAACAGGUCUCUACUGAUGGGUACUGGUGGAUUUCAUUUUAAAAGAAAAACAAAUGCCUGGUACAUAGCAAUUUACACUUUGUUAUCUGAUUUCUGAAGAUUUAGCAUUCAAGUAUUUUCUUUAAAGUAAAGGUUUUCCCACCUCAAAAUGAAAUACGAUAGAAAUCACUCCAGUCACUUAAGAAUAAUUUAACGAGGAUAGUUUUGAAGUAAAUAUUCAGAGACUUAAAAACUUAUUUGAAGGCAGGCUGUGUGUAUAACUCUUAACACCCUAGGGUUGAAUCCAUUUUGUUAUUUUUUAAAUGCCAAAUGGAUUGUGCUUUCCUGAAAAUUUACUUCUAUAAUAUAAAUAAUAGUAUCUAACAAUAAAAGGAGAGCCUGCCUAGUUCUUGCCAAGCAGACAAUGCGGAUGGGGCUGGCCCUCAGAAGACAGCCAACCUGGACCUCAUGGAGUCUGCAGCCGAGUAGAUCAGGGAAUAGAAACACCUAUCUUUACAUAUCACAAUAUGUAUCUGUACAUUAUAAUACAAAUAAAGUCCAAGAUUGGUUGAUGACUAUUGGUCAUCUGAGCCUGCCUGACUAUAUUUUACAGUCCUUCUACUUCUCUGGGCAUUUAAAAUGAUAAGUUACUUUGUCUAGAAUCCCACUGAUAAAAAAGGAAUUUGUAAACGAAGGCAGAAGUUUUCUUUGGUCAGUUUCCAGCAGUCCAGGAGGUGAAGGAGGGUGGGAGAGGGGGAGGAAGGUGGGAGGGAGGAAAACCCUCAAGCUGAAUGAAAUCCCAAUAGAGAAAAUAAUAAAGAGAAAGUCUGGGUUGCAAUAUGAUCUGUGCUGAACUUUGGUGGUGAGUUCCUUAAAGAAAGUUCUGGAAAAAUGUUACCGCCUUACCCCUAAAUUCCCUCAAUCCCCAUUUAUCUCUACCCCCAAACCAUUCUAUAGAAUGAAAACAUCUUCUGUUCUGUAGGCUUUUUGCGAGAAAUGAAUAUAAUCUCUUUUGUCCUUUUGUAAACUCUUUAAGGCUACAAUGCUUUCUGAACAAAUUCUAUAAAUUAUACCUUUUGCGACAAUUAAAAAUUCUCAAGUUCUCUUUUGCAAACAUCUUAGUACAAAAAUUUCUCCAAGUUGUCUCUUGUCAAAAAUUUUUAUUUUUUAAAAAUUUCCCUUCUGAUCAUUCCAAAAUUGGUGUAAAGAACAUAUAACUUUUCUCAUCAGUUCAUCAUUUUUAGGUAAAAGGUAGAAAGCAAGGAGAAAUUUGGCAGUCUAAAUCACUUGGAUGAUAAAAUUAAGUCAACCCUUUUUUAUUGUGACUUGGCAACUUCCAUAUUAAUUAUUUAAAAAAAAAACAAGUGAUAUUUUUUAAGUUUAUGUAAUUUCUUUUAUAGAUAAAAACGUUUUAAAAACUAUUAGGUAACUUAUGGGAGACUAUUUUUUUUAAGAAACAUUUUUACUUAUUGAUAAAAUUACUAAAGAAGAAAGAUAAGCUUUAUGGUACCUUGGCAAUGUUUAAGGCUUCUCAAAUUUUCUGUCUUUUGUUCUUUUGAAAUGAUUGAAUUUCGUAACUUGUUUCCAAUUAAUGAUUGAAUUUAAAUUUCUUUAUUCAGAUUAAAUGGCCUUUUCAUUUCAAAGAAACUAACCCCUAGUGGUCCCUCCCCUAUUUUCUCCCUCUUACUUUUUUAUUUUUUUAUUUUUUUUUUUUUUACUUUUAGUCUGGAGACAUAGGGACACAGGCCAUUCUUGGCAUGCAUACAGGAGUGGAAGUUUAAGAAUUACUUUGCAAGGGGGUAGCCAAGGAGCCCCCCACAUGCUCCGUGGGGCACAUGUCCUGCUAUGCCAACCCACUUCUGAUGCAACAAAUGCAAAGAUACAAUGCUUAUCUUUCAACCGUACGAACUAAAGACCACAAGUAAAGCUCACUUUAUAAACCUUUGCUGAAUGAAGUCAGCAUGUUCCUUUAUACGCGGGUACGUGUGCCAACAUUUAUAUACACAUGACAAAAAAUAACCUUGUCUAUUUCCAGGUAAUUAGAAUAAUCUUUAAUUUUAUCUUGAUAUUACUUUAUAAGGAGAUAUACAAAUAUUUUAGGGAUCAUGGAAUCUCUUCCAGAGGGAAAUAACCCACAGUGAACAUCUUCAACUAAAAUUACCGCUGGAUAUGAUGGUUGCAUGAAUCAUUAAUUGAGAGAGUUAACUGGAUCAAAUUAUUUAUGGGAGAGAGAGGGAAAACUAUACAGUGAUAUCUAAUUUCCCUCAAAAUAGUCUUUGUGAGCGAAUCACUCUAUAGUAACAGCAACAAUAACAAAAUAACAUUUUAAGACUGAGUGUAUCUGCCCAUGUGCAGAGGAAACCUGGAGGAAGCAGGGCCUGGCUGGACGGAGUUGUCAUGUGUCUGCCUGUCUACACUUGCUGUGCAGAACAUCCGCUCACCUGUACAGCAGGCACAGACAGGCAGUCACACGACAACCCAGCCUGAGUGACAACCAGCCACUGAGAGAGCAGCCCUCACACCAUAGCAUCUACACCAAGAGCUACGGCCACAGUGAGGGGUGCGGGGCCUGGGGUUUUCAUCUGUUGGCUUAAUACUUAAUGCGCAUGUAUUAGUAUUAUUUUAUCAUUUAUUUUGAUUCGAAUAUUGAAACCCACCAAAAGUCAAGUGAGUGGUGCCUAUGAAAUAUAAUAAAACCCAUUUCUAAAAA